CUUCAUCCCAAGCUGCUGCUGCUCGCAGUCACCUCUCCAGGUGAAGCAGAACCACUGUUCUUGCUCUGUGUUCGUGUUUUCACAGAGAUAAACCAGGAUUAGCAGUGCUGAAGAGGGAUAUAAUUGAUGUGAACUUAAAGGAUUUUGCCUCAGACUGUGCAUGAGAUGGAAUUGCUCUGGGGAUGAAUAAGAGGUGUGCAACAAUAGAAGCAUUUGUCUGC
Vidua chalybeata is the source of this 221-nucleotide long non-coding RNA. RefSeq lists it as uncharacterized. NCBI's taxonomy places the organism in Eukaryota, Metazoa, Chordata, Aves, Passeriformes, Viduidae. The transcript has 3 exons. The record is from RefSeq and is a predicted model, not a curated record.